UGGGGAAUUUUGGACAAUGGGCGAAAGCCUGAUCCAGCAAUGCCGCGUGUGUGAAGAAGGCCUUCGGGUUGUAAAGCACUUUUGUCCGGAAAGAAAUCCUUGGCUCUAAUACAGUCGGGGGAUGACGGUACCGGAAGAAUAAGCACCGGCUAACUACGUGCCAGCAGCCGCGGUAAUACGUAGGGUGCAAGCGUUAAUCGGAAUUACUGGGCGUAAAGCGUGCGCAGGCGGUUUUGCUAAGACCGAUGUGAAAUCCCCGGGCUCAACCUGGGAACUGCAUUUGGUGACUGGCAGGCUAGAGUAUGGCAGAGGGGGGUAGAAUUCCACGUGUAGCAGUGAAAUGCGUAGAGAUGUGGAGGAAUACCGAUGGCGAAGGCAGCCCCCUGGGCCAAUACUGACGCUCAUGCACGAAAGCGUGGGGAGCAAACAGGAUUAGAUACCCUGGUAGUCCACGCCCUAAACGAUGUCAACUAGUUGUUGGGGAUUCAUUUCCUUAGUAACGUAGCUAACGCGUGAAGUUGACCGCCUGGGG
Molecule: ribosomal RNA, 532 nt
Filed under: uncultured bacterium
Lineage: Bacteria
Description: partial 16S ribosomal RNA
Rfam family: Bacterial small subunit ribosomal RNA
Source: RNAcentral